CAGGACAUAAUUUAAUAAGAAUAUUGGCUUUGGGGGCCAGAUGUAGAGGUUGAACUCCUUUUGUCCUGA
Molecule: transfer RNA, 69 nt
Filed under: Quasipaa spinosa (Chinese spiny frog)
Lineage: Eukaryota; Metazoa; Chordata; Amphibia; Anura; Dicroglossidae
Also listed under: 1 other name
Description: tRNA-Pro
Rfam family: tRNA
About the family: Transfer RNA (tRNA) molecules are approximately 80 nucleotides in length. Their secondary structure includes four short double-helical elements and three loops (D, anti-codon, and T loops).
Source: RNAcentral